Corticium candelabrum is the source of this 3053-nucleotide RNA transcript. RefSeq lists it as uncharacterized. NCBI's taxonomy places the organism in Eukaryota, Metazoa, Porifera, Homoscleromorpha, Homosclerophorida, Plakinidae. The record is from RefSeq and is a predicted model, not a curated record. The transcript has 7 exons.
CUUCGACUCACCCACAUGCUUCUCCAUCGACUCUCAACUUGUCUCGCAUUGCUCGUCCUAGCAGGCGGUGACACUCUGCGUUUGUAUGAGGAGACCGCAUUGGACGGCGGAUGGACCGUCUACCCAAUCAACUCCGUCAUAGUCGAGAACACAACGAUCGCACUGCGCUGCGAGCGCAACGACGUGUUCGUGCCCACUUAUGACAUGAAGGGCUUCCACGAGACGAAUUUUGCAGUCGCCAUCGACAAAUUCGAGGACGAAAAGGCGACGGAUAUUUUGAAGAUUGGAAAAUUUGGAAGGAAGUAUGAAGGCGAGUGGAAUUGUUUUACGAUGGGGAGAGAUGAUGAGGGACGACAGGUAUCACUGCGUGGCCCCACUCGCUUGUUGGAGCUUGCUGGUGUUGGUAAACUGAGAUAUUAUUUGAUGGAAGCAGGAAGUUUAGAUGGACAUAAAAUUGUUUGAAGCUUUUGACUUGCAAAGCAUUACAAUGGUUGGAAGAAAUGCCUUAUGGAAGAAGGGAAAAACAUUGAAGUAGAAAAUUUCUCUUUGAAGCUGUUGACAUUGAUCCAGUUUUCUCAAUGAAAAUGAAUCCUACAAAUCUGCACAUUGAUUUCAUGGUCAAAAUGUCUCUUUAAUACUGCUGACUACAUACGUGCUCAACGUGCUCCAGUUGAAGCUCCUUGAAUCCUCAAUAGUAACAAGCAGCCUAGCAACAGCAGACAGAGAUCAGAAGUUACCCAUCUACUAACGAGACUGAGUGCUGUUCAACGGCAACAAUCUGAAGAGACGAUUAUUCCUGAUGGGAAAGAAUGAGCUGAAAAGACAUGCAGAUGCAUCUCACAACAGUGAAUGGCUCAAAUUAGCAGCCAAAUCACUAACUGGUGAAGCUGUUGAAUUGAAAGCAAAAUCGUCUGACACUGUUACCACCGUGAAGCGUCAAUUGCAAACCAAGGAUGACCCUUCAUCAUGGGAUCUACUACUGAUCAUUUGAAAUAAGAAGCAACUACACAAUGAGCAAACAUUGGCUGAUGCAGGAGCAAUUGAUAGAACAAUACCGAGUAUCAGUUUUUGUCCUUGUCAGUUGACCUUCUAUUCAAUACAUUAUAGUGUAGAAAUUGUAAUGAUGGUAAGGUUGUAGGUGGUGUGACAGACAUGGGAGUAAAUGUAGGUGAAUUAUUUGUUCAAGCAUUAUCACUAGCCCAGAGCAGUCGAAGUAAGUCAAGUCAAGAUUGUCAUUGUUGGCAGAAACAGAACAGACAAAACGUCUCUUGAACGACCCUUGCUCAAACAGAAGUUUUUCUUUUUUAGACAAAAUGUUUAGACAAACACAUAACUAGAGCAGUCAUUCGUGCACUGCAUGAUCUAAUGCAAAGGGUUCAGGUAGUGACAGUGAGAGUCAACUUGAGCUAGAGUUGACAUUUAAUAGAGAAUCUACAUCGGCUGAUACUAGAGAAAGCAGCGUGGACAGAGACAAACUUGCAUGAUGAAGUGACAGUUCUAACCGAAGGGAUUGCUCGUGCUAUUCAAGGUUUUCGAAGUGAUCCUGAUCUUCUAAAGCAGGAAGAUUUGAUAGUUCAUGGUACCAUUUUGGAUUUGGGAAGACAGAAGCUACUUCUGUCUGGUCAAUCUUAGUUUCUAGGCAGGGGUGUAGUGUGACUUCUAAAAAUGGGGGCUAAACUUCACAAUGCUACAGGGACAUUCUCACUUUUAUGGACAUGCCCAUUUUUAUUGGCUUGUAAUGGUUGAUACAAUAGAAUCAGUGGCAGAUCCAGACUGGAAAAAAGGACGAUCUAUAUACUAUAUAUAGCUUUGCUCCUCACACGUAUUUACAGUCCACAAUUUUUAUGACCACAUCUACAAAUGAUGGGCUAUAGCCCGGUCUAGCCCAUGCCACGCUACGCCCCUGUUCUCGGUGACACUGCUAAGUCAUUCUACGUUCCUUCUGCCGACUCGGAACAAAUUCCAAUGGACAACCACUGAUAGAGACAAACUAUGAUAAUGUGUCUAUGGGCAUCCAUGACUUUUUGGCAGGAGAUGAACAUAAUCUUGAAGACCUUUACUCUGGUGAUGAUUACAUCGGCAUGUCAAAGGAAUGUGCAUCACCAAUUGCUGAUUGGUACACCUGUCAAUGAUGCUGACAAAGAAAUGAUUAAGCAACAGAAUCAAUUUCUGUUUAAAAAGUUUUGCAAUAAAGCAUUUCAGAAGGACAUCUUGCAACCAUCUGACCAGCAUGAUGAUUGCAAUUGGUUCUUUUGUGGUGAGAAUUCAGUGUCUGAUCCUGACAGUCCAAAUUAGGAUGCAGGUAUGAGUGCAGUGAAGCAACUUAUUGAAGAGAUGGAACUAAUUUAUCAUGCAAGAAAUAUAUUAUUGUCACCAUUGACACACAACGGCCACUUCAUGAAAUUGCAUCUCUGUGUAUACAGACAUGGUCACAUUCGUCUGUUCAUUGUUAAAAACUUCAUGAAGUAAAGACACCAGGGUUGCCUCAUUUUCAGUUUUGAUUGAAUAUUCCUGUGGAUAUCAACAGGUUGGUAUGAACACAAGCCAUUAAGAAGACAUAAGCUCAACGUACAACUGUCUGUUGAUGAGAAAGCUGCACUCUUGCUUUUACGAUCAUACAUAUGAUGUAGCAAGAACACAACAACAAUCACUGACAUUAAGAACAUGUACAGAGCAAAUGUACAUAAGAUGAUGUCAUGGAUGUUACUGAAAAACUGUCUCACUGGUGGCAGAAGCUUGUCUUGAAAUUAAAUUUACAUUAGCAAGACAAAGAGUUUAGAAUAAGAAAACAAAGAUGAUUGCUUCAUGCAAGCUGUAACAGCAUGGAAUAGGUGGACUAAUGUAUUUGGUGACGAAGCAAAUCGGGAAACAAUGAUCAAGGUAAUGUGUAACAUUGGUGCAGAUCUCAAGCUGAAGACGUUUUGAUCUUGACUUACUAAAGCAUGUUUGCCCACUUAAAUUACUCAAAUUUGAUUAGAUUAUUGCAUCACAAUGUAGUAUUUUAGUUUGCUGUGUUUUAUUUCGUAUUUAUUAAAAUGUGUAUUUUUAGUUUA